GUUUCAAGCUAUUUAUCCAAUGCCUUCAUAGAAGAGUACGUGAUGAUCAUUAGGUUAUUCAUAUGGAUUUGGCCUUAUUUAUAUUUGCUUUUAUGUUUCAUGAGCUUAAAGGUUUUUUUGCACUUUUCUCCUUUUAUUAGGACUUACAGGUAUCUAUGCAUGUAUACUUCCAUUUCAAGAAUUUUUAGACUUGGUUAUUAUACUAGUU
RNAcentral lists this unclassified non-coding RNA (208 nucleotides) under Hevea brasiliensis (rubber tree). Lineage: Eukaryota; Viridiplantae; Streptophyta; Magnoliopsida; Malpighiales; Euphorbiaceae. The record is from RNAcentral.